This 283-nucleotide signal recognition particle RNA is filed under the name Theropithecus gelada (gelada). Its description in RNAcentral is "Metazoan signal recognition particle RNA (ENSTGEG00000009227.1)". It matches the Rfam family "Metazoan signal recognition particle RNA". Rfam says of the family: The signal recognition particle (SRP) is a universally conserved ribonucleoprotein. It is involved in the co-translational targeting of proteins to membranes. The record is from Rfam by way of RNAcentral. Lineage: Eukaryota; Metazoa; Chordata; Mammalia; Primates; Cercopithecidae.
GUUGGAUGUGGUGGCAUGUGCCUGUAGGCUCAGCUGAGGUGGAAGGAUCUCUUGAGCCCGGGAAUUUUGGAGGGUAGCACACUAUGUGCUACAUAUGGAUUGAGUGUCUGCACUAAAUUCAGCAUCAAUAGGGUAUCCUGGGAGUAGGGGACUAACAGGUUGCCUGAGGAGGGGUGAACUGGUCCAGGUUGGCAACAGAGCAGGUUAAAACUCCCAUGCUGAGCAAUAGUGGGAUAGCCACUGCACUCCAGCCUGGACAACAUUUAAGGUGACCCUGUUUCUU